Leptonychotes weddellii (Weddell seal) is the source of this 958-nucleotide non-coding RNA. Lineage: Eukaryota; Metazoa; Chordata; Mammalia; Carnivora; Phocidae. The record is from RefSeq and is a predicted model, not a curated record.
AUGACACCUGGAGAACUAGCCCUUGCAAGUGGCAACCACACUCCAGUUACCCAGUUCAUCUUGUUGGGAUUCUCCAGCUAUCCAGAUCUCCAGGAGCUUCUAUUUGUAACCUUCCUGCUCAUUUAUGCCAUCACGGUGAUGGGCAACCUGGGAAUGAUGGCACUCAUCUUCACAGACUCCCGUCUCCAUAGUCCCAUGUAUUUCUUCCUCAGUGUCCUCUCUUUUCUUGAUCUUUGUUACUCUUCUGUGGUCACACCCAAGCUCUUAGCCAACUUCCUGGCCUCUGACAAGACCAUCUCUUCCGAGGGCUGUGUGAUCCAGCUGACCUUCUUUGUGGUGCAUGUGACAGCUGAGAGCUUCCUGCUGGCCUCCAUGGCCUAUGACCGCUUCGCGGCCAUCUGCCAACCCCUCCAUUACAGUUCAGUCAUGACCAAAGAGACCUGUCUCCAGCUGGUAGCUGCUUCCUAUGCAUUUGGUGGCACCAACUCUGCUAUCCAGACUGGGAAUGUCUUGCUCUGCCUUUCUGUGGGCCCAACCAGGUGACACACUACUUCUGUGACAUCCCUCCCCUUCUCCACUGGGCUGUGCCAACACAGCCACAGCAGGAGUGGUCCUCUAUAUCUUCUCCGCUCUGGUUACCCUUCUGCCUGCUGCAGUCAUCCUCACCUCCUACAGCUUGGUCUUGGUGGCCUUUGGGAGGAUGCGCUCAGCAGCUGGGCGGGAGAAGGCCCUCUCCACAUGUGCCUCCCACUUGCUGGCCAUUGUCAUUUUCUAUGGCACUGUGGUUUUCACCUAUGUCCAGCCUCAUGGAUCCACUAAUGAUACCAAUGACCAAAUAGUGUCCGUGUUUGACACCAUCAUAAUUCCCAUGCUCAACCCCUUCAUCUAUAGCUUCCGCAACAAGGAGGUGAAGGACGCGGUGCAGAGGAAGCUCCGGGUCAGUAUCUCUCCCUGCUGA